This 597-nucleotide long non-coding RNA is filed under the name Gossypium barbadense (sea-island cotton). RNAcentral describes it as "long non-coding RNA (GBAR_LNC004846)". The record is from RNAcentral. Lineage: Eukaryota; Viridiplantae; Streptophyta; Magnoliopsida; Malvales; Malvaceae.
AUUCUUUCAUUCAGGUUUUUCCCCCUUUUCUUGUUCUUUUAAGUAUCAGAUGAAAAUUGAGGAAUUUUGGGGUUAACAAUGAAACAGAGCUUUGACAGUGUUUUCGCCAUAGAAGAUAUUGAGGUUGCCAAUAUCAUGUUGGAGCUUCCUCGUCUCAUGUUACGCCCUCCUCGCUUUUCUUGUACUUGGGGCUGCCGGAGGAAGAGAUCUGUUUGCACAUCUUCUCCGCCGCCGUCGAAACAGCCUCUUCCUUCUUCCACCGUCGUGGGACCCAUCGAAAAGGUCUUAUCUUCAAGCCCUGAUACACCCCUGUCUUUUUGUUCCAAUGAAGCAGAUGAGAAGUCUCUCCCUCUGCCUCCCAAGAAAAAAGCUUCUUCGGUUAAUAGUCUCAAAAGGGUACGUCGUUUUAUCUUCGCUUUGGGUCAUCAUCACCUUGAAUUUUUUUUCUUUUUUUGAGUUCAUUGUCCUUACACGUCUGCUCUGUUUUCUGAUACGUGUCCGUUCUGGGUUUUUGUUUUCUUAAUAAAACAGAAAAAAGAACAAUUUUUAGAGACGGUGGAGGAUUUUACCCAUCGCAAUGAAAUACUUAAAAAGGUG